RNAcentral lists this ribosomal RNA (505 nucleotides) under uncultured bacterium. RNAcentral describes it as "partial 16S ribosomal RNA". It matches the Rfam family "Bacterial small subunit ribosomal RNA", at positions 28 to 507 of the family's 1533-position model. The record is from RNAcentral.
GACGAACGCUGGCGGCGUGCCUAAUACAUGCAAGUAGAACGCACAGUUUAUACCGUAGCUUGCUACACCAUAGACUGUGAGUUGCGAACGGGUGAGUAACGCGUAGGUAACCUGCCUGGUAGCGGGGGAUAACUAUUGGAAACGAUAGCUAAUACCGCAUAAUAUUAAUUAUUGCAUGAUAAUUAAUUGAAAGGUGCAAUUGCACCACUACCAGAUGGACCUGCGUUGUAUUAGCUAGUAGGUGAGGUAACGGCUCACCUAGGCGACGAUACAUAGCCGACCUGAGAGGGUGAUCGGCCACACUGGGACUGAGACACGGCCCAGACUCCUACGGGAGGCAGCAGUAGGGAAUCUUCGGCAAUAGACGAAAGUCUGACCGAGCAACGCCGCGUGAGUGAAGAAGGGUUUCGGAUCGUAAAGCUCGGUUGUAAGAGAAGAACGGGUGUGAGAGUGGAAAGUUCACACUGUGACGGUAGCUUACCAGAAAGGGACGGCUAACUACGUG